RNAcentral lists this long non-coding RNA (1314 nucleotides) under Sus scrofa (pig). Its description in RNAcentral is "lncRNA (ENSSSCG00015049395.1)". The record is from RNAcentral. Lineage: Eukaryota; Metazoa; Chordata; Mammalia; Artiodactyla; Suidae.
GAUGCUGCCUCUUGCUGUGGUGACAGACAUGAGGCUGGGCUGGGAGCAGUCAGAGACAGAUGGGAACGACCUCCUGGAAGAAGCCUGGCACGGAGGAGCUGCAAGGGCUGUGUGUGCUCUGGCUCCACCGCUCCCCGUGGCACAUCUCCAAGGCCCGCAUCCCUACGGCCCUGCAGAGGAGAGCGCCACGCCCUCCCUGCAUCCGGGUAACCACAUGCCAGGGACGUGAGGACAGCCAUGGACGCACUUCAGCAGGUUUGAAAACUCGCUCCAACUUAUUUGUUUCGUCUCUUUCUCUGCAGAAGUUAGAUUGAUCCUUAGUGCACCUUACCUUUCAUUCACUUUCUAACAUGCUGUGUGGUCUUAGGCAGAUGGCUCAUCCUCUCUGGUCUUAUAUCUUUUUUUUUUUUUUUUUUUUUUUUUUUUNGGCUGCACCCUCGGCAUAUGGAGGUUCCCAGGCUAAGGGUCCAAUCAGAGCUGUAGCCAUGGGCCUACACCACAGCCACCACAACGCCAGAUCUGAGCCGUGUCUGCGACCUACACCACAGCUCACGGCAACGCCGGAUCCUUAACCCACUGAGCAAGGCUAGGGAUCGAACCCGCAACCUCAAACAUGGUUCCUGGUCGGAUUCAUUAACCACUGAGCCAUGACGGGACCUCCAGGUUUUAUAUCUUGAAGAUGACGUGGUUGGAGUAGACACCAUCUAAGAGGUGGCAGGAAUUGUAGGAAACGUCUAGUCUGCUUUCUGACCUUAUGGAGAAGGAGAGUAAGUUCUAGAGAGAGAAAAGGCCUUCCCUUCUGAUUCCAGAAAUUCUUGGGCUCUAAAUACUGAGCACUUCACGUGGUGUUGCAGGCGGUGCCAGUGUUAGACACACAGAGGCCGCCUGACCCAGCAGACGUGGGCUCUUCCUCGCGUGCCUGCCAGCAGUGAAGGUGGAGGCUGAACCAGGCGCUGCCUCAAAGCCUGUUGGUUUUCCCCGCGAACGUGUCUCUGCCCGGCCGCGCCAGGUGGCGGGACGGAUGAUGGAGCUGAAUCCAGUUCCCACCCAGCUGGUGGAGACGCUGGUGGCAAAGGUCGCAACGGGCACAGCAGGGGUCGUGGGCGGAAAGGGUUUCCAUCCUCCCAGCCGGCAGCCCGUGCCUCUUUCCGGGUAAGAUACAUUCUCUUCCUGGCUAUUUACUGGCACCAACCUUAAUUCUGCCUCUUAAAGUGGCUGUUGGGGUGGGAAGAGAAAUUGGGGGUCAAGAGAGAGAGGCGUGUUCUCAGGAACCUAGGGACUGUCAGACCGAGAAAACUGUGGCGCUGAGAGGGG